Marmota monax (woodchuck) is the source of this 473-nucleotide long non-coding RNA. RefSeq lists it as uncharacterized. The record is from RefSeq and is a predicted model, not a curated record. Lineage: Eukaryota; Metazoa; Chordata; Mammalia; Rodentia; Sciuridae. The transcript has 4 exons.
UAUUCACAUUUCAAUCUGCAUUCCUCUUCCCUGAUCACAUAAAUUUCCAGGUGCCUUGAUUUGGAGAUAUGAAUCUCUGGCUUUGAACCUCCUGCCAGUAGGCUAGGGAGGACACCAGUACCUUCUGGAGUCAGUAUAGCAGCUUGGAGGGAUGUUGAAUCUGAGUGAUUCGAGCAACCACCACCUUCUUCCACCUCGACUCUUACCUUCUUCUCCAGUGUAAUGGGCAAAUGCGAGUCCACAUCUGCUUGUGACCAGAAGCUCACAUCUUUGCCUUGUGAAGAUCUUGAACAACCUUGGGAAUCUGAUGAAAGGUGAACGCUGUUGCCACAAGCGGAUUCCAGCCCUCCCCUCAUCUCUGUUACGGUCAUUCAGGGACAGGCACUGUGCUGAAUUCUAUGAACUGGAUCAACAAAAACAGACAGUCCCUGCCCUCACUGAGUUUGACAUCUAGACAUCUGUGCAGUAGAAAG